Long non-coding RNA from Solanum verrucosum, 274 nucleotides. RefSeq lists it as uncharacterized. The record is from RefSeq and is a predicted model, not a curated record. The transcript has 3 exons. NCBI's taxonomy places the organism in Eukaryota, Viridiplantae, Streptophyta, Magnoliopsida, Solanales, Solanaceae.
AUUUCGAGCAGUUUCUACUGAGAAAUGGAACUCUUCGAAACUUGGGAUAAUAGGCCCGUCCUUCAACCCUUAUCUGCUUAAAUACAAGGUUUGGCUCCACAACCAAGUUUAUUCAGCUUUCCCUCAUUAUCUAUCAUUCUUGCAGAAACUGAGUCCCCUGAUGUGUAUAUUUGGGAAGAAUUUAUUUUUAGAACUGCUGUGCUAGAAUGGGAGGUUCUCUACAAUUUCACUUCUUCAGUUGCAACAUUUUGUUAAAGGUAAUAAACAUAACCGG